UUAAAGGGCUGCAGUAUAUUGACUGUACAAAGGUAGCAUAAUCAUUAGUCAUUUAAUUGAUGACUUGUAUGAAGGAUUGGAUGAAAUAUAAACUGUCUCUUAAUUAUAUUUAGAAUUUAAUUUUUUAAUUAAAAAGUUAAAAUAAAUUAGAAAGACGAGAAGACCCUAUAGAGUUUUAUAAGUAAAAUUAAUUGAGAUUAUUUGUAAAGGUUAAGAUUAAGAUUAAUUUAUUUAUUUUGUUGGGGUGACAGAAAAAUAUGAAAAACUUUUUAUAUGUUUAAAACAUUAAUAAGUGGUUAAAUGAUCCAAUAUUAUUGAUUAUAAGAAAAAAUUACCUUAGGGAUAACAGCGUAAUUUUUUUUUUUAGUUCCCAUAAAAAAAAAAGUUUGCGACCUCGAUGUUGGAUUAAGAUAAAAUUUAAAUGCAGAAG
Molecule: ribosomal RNA, 430 nt
Filed under: Sesamia nonagrioides (Mediterranean corn borer)
Lineage: Eukaryota; Metazoa; Arthropoda; Insecta; Lepidoptera; Noctuidae
Description: partial 16S ribosomal RNA
Source: RNAcentral